UAGGGAAUAUUGGACAAUGGGGGCAACCCUGAUCCAGCCAUGCCGCGUGAGUGAAGAAGGCCCUCGGGUUGUAAAGCUCUUUUGUCCGGAAAGAAAAGCUUCGGGUUAAUACCCCGGGGUUCUGACGGUACCGGAAGAAUAAGCACCGGCUAACUUCGUGCCAGCAGCCGCGGUAAUACGAAGGGUGCACGCGUUACUCGGAAUUACUGGGCGUAAAGCGUGCGUAGGUGGUUGUUUAAGUCUGAUGUGAAAGCCCUGGGCUCAACCUGGGAAUGGCAUUGGAAACUGGGCAGCUAGAGUGCGGUAGAGGGUAGUGGAAUUCCCGGUGUAGCAGUGAAAUGCGUAGAGAUCGGGAGGAACAUCUGUGGCGAAGGCGACUGCCUGGACCAGCACUGACACUGAGGCACGAAAGCGUGGGGAGCAAACA
Molecule: ribosomal RNA, 427 nt
Filed under: uncultured bacterium
Lineage: Bacteria
Description: bacterial SSU rRNA
Rfam family: Bacterial small subunit ribosomal RNA
Source: RNAcentral